Molecule: ribosomal RNA, 653 nt
Filed under: uncultured organism
Description: bacterial SSU rRNA
Rfam family: Bacterial small subunit ribosomal RNA
Source: RNAcentral
CUCGCCGAAAGGUGAGGUAAUCCUCAAUGGUGUGGGAAGUACAUAUGUACAUCCCACUAAAGCUUUAGCGCUUCGGGAUGAGUCUGCGUCCUAUCAGCUUGUUGGUAGAGUAAAGGUCUACCAAGGCUAAGACGGGUAACUGGUCUGAGAGGAUGGUCAGUCACAGUGGCACUGAAACACGGGCCACACUCCUACGGGAGGCAGCAAUUAGGAAUCUUGCACAAUGGAGGAAACUCUGAUGCAGCGACACCGCGUGAAGGAUGAAGACCCUCGGGUUGUAAACUUCUUUUAUAAUCUAACAAGUUCUGAGUGGAGUAUGAAUAAGCACCUGCUAACUGCGUGCCAGAAGCAUCGGUGAAGCGUGGGGUGCGAGCGUUACCCGGAUUUAUUGGGCGUAAAGAGAUGCGUAGGCGUUUUGGUAAGUCUUCUGUCAAAGCCUUCGGCCUAACCGAAGAAAGGCAGAGGAUACUAUCAGAAUUGAGACAGAGAGGGGGAAGUGGAAUUCCCGGUGGAGCGGUGAAAUGCGUUGAUAUCGGGAGGAACACCAGUGGCGAAGGCAACUUCCUGGCUCUGUUCUGACGCUGAGGCUCGAAAGCGUGGAAAGCAAAGCGGAUUAGAUACCCGUGUAGUCCAUGCUGUAAACGUUGGAUACU